Molecule: ribosomal RNA, 465 nt
Filed under: Vreelandella stevensii
Lineage: Bacteria; Pseudomonadati; Pseudomonadota; Gammaproteobacteria; Oceanospirillales; Halomonadaceae
Description: partial 16S ribosomal RNA
Rfam family: Bacterial small subunit ribosomal RNA
Source: RNAcentral
CCUAAGGGGUGCAGCAGUGGGGAAUAUUGGACAAUGGGCGAAAGCCUGAUCCAGCCAUGCCGCGUGUGUGAAGAAGGCCUUCGGGUUGUAAAGCACUUUCAGUGGGGAAGAAAGCCUUGGGGCUAAUACCCUCGAGGAAGGACAUCACCCACAGAAGAAGCACCGGCUAACUCCGUGCCAGCAGCCGCGGUAAUACGGAGGGUGCGAGCGUUAAUCGGAAUUACUGGGCGUAAAGCGCGCGUAGGCGGUCUGAUAAGCCGGUUGUGAAAGCCCCGGGCUCAACCUGGGAACGGCAUCCGGAACUGUCAGGCUAGAGUGCAGGAGAGGAAGGUAGAAUUCCCGGUGUAGCGGUGAAAUGCGUAGAGAUCGGGAGGAAUACCAGUGGCGAAGGCGGCCUUCUGGACUGACACUGACGCUGAGGUGCGAAAGCGUGGGUAGCAAACAGGAUUAGAUACCCGGGUAGUC